AUUGAACGCUGGCGGCAUGCUUUACACAUGCAAGUCGAACGGUAACAGGCCUUCGGGUGCUGACGAGUGGCGAACGGGUGAGUAAUGCAUCGGAACGUGCCCAAUCGUGGGGGAUAACGUAGCGAAAGUUACGCUAAUACCGCAUAAGCCCUGAGGGGGAAAGUGGGGGACCGCAAGGCCUCACGCGAAUGGAGCGGCCGAUGUCAGAUUAGCUAGUUGGUGGGGUAAAGGCUCACCAAGGCGACGAUCUGUAGCGGGUCUGAGAGGAUGAUCCGCCACACUGGGACUGAGACACGGCCCAGACUCCUACGGGAGGCAGCAGUGGGGAAUUUUGGACAAUGGGCGCAAGCCUGAUCCAGCCAUGCCGCGUGCGGGACGAAGGCC
Molecule: ribosomal RNA, 384 nt
Filed under: uncultured bacterium
Lineage: Bacteria
Description: bacterial SSU rRNA
Rfam family: Bacterial small subunit ribosomal RNA
Source: RNAcentral